GACGAACUCUGGCGGCGCGCCUAACACAUGCAAGUCGAACGAGAGAUGAGGAGCUUGCUCUUCAAAUCGAGUGGCGAACGGGUGAGUAACGCGUGAGGAACCUGCCUCAAAGAGGGGGACAACAGUUGGAAACGACUGCUAAUACCGCAUAAGCCCACAGCUCGGCAUCGAGCAGAGGGAAAAGGAGCAAUCCGCUUUGAGAUGGCCUCGCGUCCGAUUAGCUAGUUGGUGAGGUAACGGCCCACCAAGGCAACGAUCGGUAGCCGGACUGAGAGGUUGAACGGCCACAUUGGGACUGAGACACGGCCCAGACUCCUACGGGAGGCAGCAGUGGGGAAUAUUGCACAAUGGGGGAAACCCUGAUGCAGCGACGCCGCGUGGAGGAAGAAGGUCUUCGGAUUGUAAACUCCUGUUGUUGAGGAAGAUAAUGACGGUACUCAACAAGGAAGUGACGGCUAACUACGUGCCAGCAGCCGCGGUAAAACGUAGGUCACAAGCGUUGUCCGGAAUUACUGGGUGUAAAGGGAGCGCAGGCGGGAGAACAAGUUGGAAGUGAAAUCCAUGGGCUCAACCCAUGAACUGCUUUCAAAACUGUUUUUCUUGAGUAGUGCAGAGGUAGGCGGAAUUCCCGGUGUAGCGGUGGAAUGCGUAGAUAUCGGGAGGAACACCAGUGGCGAAGGCGGCCUACUGGGCACCAACUGACGCUGAGGCUCGAAAGUGUGGGUAGCAAACAGGAUUAGAUACCCUGGUAGUCCACACCGUAAACGAUGAUUACUAGGUGUUGGAGGAUUGACCCCUUCAGUGCCGCAGUUAACACAAUAAGUAAUCCACCUGGGGAGUACGACCGCAAGGUUGAAACUCAAAGGAAUUGACGGGGGCCCGCACAAGCAGUGGAGUAUGUGGUUUAAUUCGACGCAACGCGAAGAACCUUACCAAGUCUUGACAUCCUGCGACGCACAUAGAAAUAUGUGUUUCCUUCGGGACGCAGAGACAGGUGGUGCAUGGUUGUCGUCAGCUCGUGUCGUGAGAUGUUGGGUUAAGUCCCGCAACGAGCGCAACCCUUAUGGUCAGUUACUACGCAAGAGGACUCUGGCCAGACUGCCGUUGACAAAACGGAGGAAGGUGGGGAUGACGUCAAAUCAUCAUGCCCUUUAUGACUUGGGCUACACACGUACUACAAUGGCGUUAAACAAAGAGAAGCAAGACCGCGAGGUGGAGCAAAACUCAGAAACAACGUCCCAGUUCGGACUGCAGGCUGCAACUCGCCUGCACGAAGUCGGAAUUGCUAGUAAUCGUGGAUCAGCAUGCCACGGUGAAUACGUUCCCGGGCCUUGCACA
RNAcentral lists this ribosomal RNA (1338 nucleotides) under uncultured bacterium. RNAcentral's name for it is "bacterial SSU rRNA". It matches the Rfam family "Bacterial small subunit ribosomal RNA", at positions 28 to 1387 of the family's 1533-position model. The record is from RNAcentral.